CCAAUAGCGUAUAUUAAAGUUGUUGCAGUUAAAAAGCUCGUAGUUGAAUUUCGGGGUUAGUAGGUUGGUCGUGCCACUGGUAUGUACUGGCUUUACUGAUUCCUCCUUCUUGAAGAACUGUAAUGUCAUUUAUUUGGUGUUGCAGGGAAACAGGACUGUUACUUUGAAAAAAUUAGAGUGUUUAAAGCAGGCUAACGCUUGAAUACAUUAGCAUGGAAUAAUGAAAUAGGACGUUUGACCCUAUUUUGUUGGUUUCUAGGAUCGACGUAAUGAUUAAUAGGGAUAGUUGGGGGCAUUAGUAUUCAAUUGUCAGAGGUGAAAUUCUUGGAUUUAUUGAAGACUAACUACUGCGAAAGCAUUUGCCAAGGAUGUUUUCAUUAAUCAAGAACGAAAGUUAGGGGAUCGAAGACGAUCAGAUACCGUCGUAGUCUUAACCAUAAACUAUGCCGACUAGGGAUCGGAUGAUGUUAAUUUUUUAAUGACUCAUUCGGCGCCUUACG
RNAcentral lists this ribosomal RNA (500 nucleotides) under uncultured Glomeromycotina. RNAcentral's name for it is "partial small subunit ribosomal RNA". It matches the Rfam family "Eukaryotic small subunit ribosomal RNA", at positions 591 to 1092 of the family's 1831-position model. Lineage: Eukaryota; Fungi; Glomeromycota. The record is from RNAcentral.